Long non-coding RNA from Mustela erminea (ermine), 1224 nucleotides. RefSeq lists it as uncharacterized. The record is from RefSeq and is a predicted model, not a curated record. The transcript is spliced from 3 exons. Lineage: Eukaryota; Metazoa; Chordata; Mammalia; Carnivora; Mustelidae.
CGAGCCUGCAGUGGGGCCCCGAGAACAGUUCGAGCAAGUUUCCAGCGCUGCUGACACUGCUGUCAAAUAGCCAUGACUUGAGAAGCACUGCCUUGGAGGGACUAGCCCACAGGUGAAGGACAGCACUGUAGCUAGCCUGGUGAGCUCAGCACCCACUCCCAGCCCAAGCUCCAUGGCAAAGGCACACACCAGAUGAUGGGCUGCGCCUUCUUCAGCUGAGGGCUGAGGGCGCCAUCAGCUGUGGAUUGCAGAGCCACCCUUUCCUGAGGCCUCACCACCACAUCUCCAGGCUCUCCUAGGAGCUUUGGGAAUUAGCAGCUAACUGCCCCAUCCUCACUCAAGCAUCUCAGCUUCAGGCUCCUGUGGGAGGAAGCCAGGCAUGCGGAGAGCAAUAAGGAUUUCCUUAAAGGAGGCCCUUGACCUAGAGGAACGGAGAGGGCAGUCCGCUAGAAUACCAAUUUGUGAGUUGUUUCUUUUCACUUUGUACUGGAGUUUGAAGAACUGCUUUAAAUGUCCCCAUCCUUCAAGUCUACUUUGUAUUCUCUUCAUUACAGCUCAGUGUACCUGUCACAGCCUGGAAAACAGACAAUUCCAUCACCCCCUCCCCCCGAUAUUAUUUUAGAUUUUCUCUUUUCCUUAAAAUGUAGUUGAACAAUUUGCCAGACAUAUUCCAACAGAAAAUGUGCUGCCCGGUAUCACCCUGCCCCUCCCCAACCCCCUAAAUCCCUGAUAAAGGAAAAUGAAAAUGUAAACUUUGGAAAGCCUGUGCUCAAGGUUUGCUUCUAGAAGUAUGCAAAUGAAGCCCCCUGGCCAGCCAAGCCCUUCCUGCUGGACUCUCUCUGGCCUAGGCUUUGAGAGCGGGUGCCUUGUCACCCAGGGCAGAGCUUUCCUGGCAUUUCCCCGGCACUGGCUGCCUGAGGGCUAAAAGAAUGGAGUGGGAGACUGGCCCUCCAGUACUCUCUAAGGCACUAACCCCGACAUCAGAGACACUGGCUGGAAGGGCGUCCAAGCAGGCAGGGCUCACAUUGGUUUUGGUUGGGUUGUUUUUUGUGUUUUUUUUUUUAUAUUUUUUCAUACGAUGUUAAUAAAAGUAGAAAAUAAAAAUCUACAUUUCAUUAGAAUAAGAUGUUAUCAUGGAUGCCAUCUCCCAUGAUACUCUUUCCCACCCCUCCCAAAUCAGGGCCCUGCCCUGUUAUUUUAAAAUAAAUGACAAAAAAAAAAAAA